AAAGUCGUAACAAGGUUUCCGUAGGUGAACCUGCGGAAGGAUCAUUAUUGAAUAAAACUGGUUUAGAUUGCUGCUGGCUUCAAGGAGCAUGUGCACAUCUACUCCGAUUUUAAAUCUCCUGUGCACUUUGUGUAGACCUGGAUAAUUUCUCAUUAAAACAAGCCUUGUGCUUUUUUUCUUGAAUUUUAGGACUGCUGUGUGAAAACCAGCUGUUCUUGUAUCUUCCGGUGUCUAUGUUUUUAUUUACACUAUUAAAAUGUAUCAGAAUGUUUUUAUUGGGCCAUUGUGCCUCUAAAACCAAAUACAACUUUCAACAACGGAUCUCUUGGCUCUC
Molecule: unclassified non-coding RNA, 334 nt
Filed under: Basidiomycota sp.
Lineage: Eukaryota; Fungi; Basidiomycota
Description: partial contains small subunit ribosomal RNA, internal transcribed spacer 1, and 5.8S ribosomal RNA
Rfam family: Eukaryotic small subunit ribosomal RNA (bases 1-47)
Source: RNAcentral